UACGAAGGGAUCUAGCGUUGUUCGGAAUUACUGGGCGUAAAGGGUGCGUAGGCGGCUUUACAAGUCAGAAGUGAAAGCCCAAGGCUCAACCUUGGAAUUGCUUUUGAUACUGUAUUGCUUGAGGAUAGGAGAGGUCAGUGGAAUUCCCAGUGUAGAGGUGAAAUUCGUAGAUAUUGGGAAGAACACCAGUGGCGAAGGCGACUGACUGGACUAUAUCUGACGCUGAGGCACGAAAGUGUGGGGAUCAAACAGG
Molecule: ribosomal RNA, 253 nt
Filed under: uncultured bacterium
Lineage: Bacteria
Description: partial 16S ribosomal RNA
Rfam family: Bacterial small subunit ribosomal RNA
Source: RNAcentral